RNAcentral lists this ribosomal RNA (510 nucleotides) under uncultured eukaryote. RNAcentral's name for it is "partial 18S ribosomal RNA". The record is from RNAcentral.
ACCAGACUUGCCCACCAAUCGUACUCGAAGUUCGGUUUGGAAUACCCUCACUACAAUCGCGAUUUUUAGUCGCGUCGUUAUAUCUUGUCACUACCUCCCUGAGUCAGGAUUGGGUAAUUUACGCGCCUGCUGCCUUCCUUAGAUGUAGUAGCCGUUUCUCAGGCUCCUUCUCCGGAAUCGAACCCUAAUUCCCCGUUACCCGUGAGAGCCAUGGUAGUCCAAUACACUACCAUCGAAAGCAUGAUAGGGCAGAAACUUGAAUGAUUUAUCGCAGCAGAGCUGCGAUUUGCGAAGUUAUUAUGAUUCACCUACUAGGUAUAUCUAAUAAAUACAACCUUGCGGUUUUGGCAUGUAUUAGCUCUAGUUUUUCUACAGUUAUCCAUUUAAUGUAUCAAAUAAACUAUAACUGUUUUAAUGAGCCAUUCGCAGUUUCACUGUGUAGUUAUUUAUACUUAGACAUGCAUGGCUUAAUCUUUGAGACAAGCAUAUGCUACUGGCAGGAUCAACCAG